This 369-nucleotide ribosomal RNA is filed under the name Triticum aestivum (bread wheat). RNAcentral's name for it is "partial small subunit ribosomal RNA". The record is from RNAcentral. Lineage: Eukaryota; Viridiplantae; Streptophyta; Magnoliopsida; Poales; Poaceae.
AUGUUCAUGUCGCAGCUGCUGGGCGGGCCGGAGGACGUGGCCCUGCUGUCGCGGCACGGGGUCAUUGAGCACCACCUGGGCGACGACGCCGAGGUGUGCGCGCUGUUCCGGGGGCUGGCGCAGGGGCUCGUCUUCGACCCGUCCGGCGGGCACUACCUGAGCACGGUGGGCGUGAGGCUGCGGUCGCACCACCGGUCGCGCCUCAACCGGUGGCGUGCCUGGGUCAUGCGGCACCGCUUCCGCAACCCGUGGCUCGCCGUGGCGUGGGUCUUGGGCUCCAUGGCCGUGCUGGGCACCAUCGUCCAGACUGUGAUCACUCUGCUUCCCUACGUGCAUCAUCAAGGACGCACGCGCAACAUCGGAAGCUAG